GAGUCUUUCAUUUUCCAUUGUUGGCGGCCAUCAAUGAGUACUUUAAGGAGCUUCUGCUGCUGCUACUGCUGCUCCUUUGCCAGUACUUACUUAAUUGUUUGGCUUCUCCAUGGCUUUAGCUAAGCAACAAUCGAAACAGAAAAUCAGGAAACCAACCAAACAACGGGCGACAAGUCCAUUUUAACAGACGGAAGAAAUUAACUUUUAUUACAG
Molecule: long non-coding RNA, 213 nt
Filed under: Drosophila guanche
Lineage: Eukaryota; Metazoa; Arthropoda; Insecta; Diptera; Drosophilidae
Source: RNAcentral